CUGAUAGAAUUAUUUGCACCAUCAUCAUCUCUGCUUGUUUGGUUCUCUUGUGUCUGCGGUGUCCACUCUAUCCCUGACCCCUUCUUUUCGCCUUGACUUGUGCUGCCUUUCCCCGCGACACGAGAAGGGUAGAGUGCACUGAGACGCACACCGCAGCCGGACUGACGACUGCACUCGCCUGCACCCUCACUCACUCCCCUCUUCGCCCACUCUCUCCACGGAGCAGACAUCCUAAGUCACGUGCCCACCUGCUCCCCGAUUCACGAGCACGUUCUCGCGAGCCCAGCAGAAGAGGGUGGUUGCGCGACGUGCACAGCCCGAGGCGACAAGAAGAAGCGAUAAAAACGUAAGACAAUAUGCCCGCUGACGAGGCGCAGGCGCCCACCCAGGCGGAGGUGUAUGAUCGCCUCAAGUGGAAUGGGUGGGGUGUCGAGGGUGUCCAGAUGCAGAUCGACAGCGAGAACCCGCUCUGGGUGCGCCACGUGGAUGGCAAGCCCAUCAAAAAUUUGCUCGAGUUCCUCUACCAGGAGGUCAGCGGCGGAGUAGGUCCAAAGGAGAUCCCGCCGCUGUCGCCGAGCAUCCCGCUCGAGCAGGCGCUUGCAAGGCUCAACAAGCCGAACAUCAACGAGGCCUUCAUGAAAGACAUCUCCGCGGUGCUGGAGAAGAGUCAAAUUCGCCCUGACGGCAAGAGCCGCCUGUGCCACAUCGUGGGCAAAAACUACCGCGACCUGUGGCGUGUGCGCAAGGGCAUGGUCGAGCACGCUCCAGACUGCAUUCUGUUGCCGAACAGCCACAAGGACUGCGCCGAGAUUAUGGGACUGGCGCACAAGCACAACGUGGUCGUUAUUCCUUUCGGUGGCGGCACCAACGUGACGGGCGGCGUCGAAGCAGACCCCUUCGAGCGUGCCCGCAUGAUCGUCUCCGUGGACAUGCGCCGCAUGAAUCGCAUGAUAUCGAUUGACCGCGAGUCGCGUCUGGCCACCUUUGAAACCGGUGUGCUUGGCCCCGACCUGGACGAGCAGUUGUUCCGCCACGGCUUCAUGCUCGGCCACGACCCCGACAGCUACAUGUACUCAACCCUCGGCGGAUGGAUUGGUGCACGUGGCAGCGGGGCCAUGUCGAACCAGUACGGCGACAUUGAAGACAUGGUGGUGGCUGUGAAGGUGGCAACGCCGACGGGCAUCAUCGAAACCCCGACCACGUCCCGCACGUGUGGCGUGGACCUGAACGGGCUCUUCAUCGGCUCCGAAGGCGCCUUCGGCAUCAUUACGGAGGCCACCAUCAAGCUGGAAACCAUCCCGGAGAAGAAGCUAUACGAAGGCUACCUGUUCCCCACUUUCGAGGCUGGUUUCAGCGCCUUCUACACGUGCACCGCCAAAGGAAUUCAUCCGUGCACGAUGCGCCUGUACGACGAGGACGAUUUUCGUAUGAGUAUGGCGAUGAGCACCACCAAACACAGCUUCCUUCAGCGCCUGGUGAGUACGGGUGUCAAGUCCUUCCUUGAGAGGUACCGCGGCUGGAGCCUGCGCCGCAUAAGCCUAGUGAUUGUUGGCUUUGAGGGAACGCCGGAUCGCGUCAAGUUCCAGCGCAGCGAGACGGCUGCAGUCUUCAAGCAGUACGGUGGCGUCGGUAUCGGCCGCGGCGCGGGUGACACGUGGCAGGAUAAGAAGUACGACCUGCCCUACAUACGCGACUUCGCCCUGUCUCUCUCGCACUGGGCGGACGUCUUCGAGACGAGUGUUCUCUAUUCGCAGGCGAUCCCGUGCUGGCGCGCAGUGAAGGCCGCUGUGCGGCAGGUGUGGAAGGAACACGGACACCGCGGCUGGAUUGGAUGUCACACGGCCCACCAGUACAAGUACGGCUGCUGCCUCUACUUCACCUUCGCGAGCGCACAAAAGGACGACAUGGACAUGAAGAUAUUCCUCGCCAUCAAGAAGCGCGCGACGGAGGCGAUGCUGGCGCACACCGGAAACCUCACUCACCACCACGGCAUCGGCUACGAGCACGUGCCGUGGAUGAGCCGCUACAUGGGGCCUAAUGCGAUAGACCUCCUCUUUGCUGUGAAGAAGAAAGUGGACCCGAAGAACAUCUGCAACCCUGGAAAGUUGCUGCCGUCGCCUCCGCGGGAGAACGAGAGCGCCGCGGCGCUGAAGGCACGCCAGCAGAGGGAGUUGAUGUUCGACAAGAUGGGUGUGCCAGGAGCCGUCGCGUCGCACCUUUAAGCCGUCGGAAGGUGAAGGCAGGGAUUUGUGUCCGUGAUGCAGGCGCCGGGCAGCUUGCUGUCACAUUCCUGUACGCGCCACUCCGUAGUUGCCUCGGGCAGACUCGGCGAUUCGCUUCUUCUUCCUUUAUUUCUAGUGCGUGCCAGGCGGAGCCAUGCGCAGCAGCAAGGCCACACAAGUGGCCGGUGUCACGUUCCACGCGGAGACUUUCUCCUUGGUCCACCACCCCCUUCUUUUCUUCCUCACGCUGCCUCGCCCGUUCCCGUUGUCGCUCUUGACGCGACGAACCUUCCCCGGUGCUUGCCAG
Molecule: unclassified non-coding RNA, 2529 nt
Filed under: Leishmania donovani
Lineage: Eukaryota; Euglenozoa; Kinetoplastea; Trypanosomatida; Trypanosomatidae
Description: gene:LdHU3.30.0230(CDS-product:alkyldihydroxyacet onephosphate_synthase)
Source: RNAcentral